GGAGUUAGCCGGUGCUUCUUCUGUGAGUGAUGUCCUUCCUGCCGGUUAUUGACCCGCAGGCCUUCUUCCUCACUGAAAGUGCUUUACAACCCGAAGGCCUUCUUCACACACGCGGCAUGGCUGGAUCAGGGUUGCCCCCAUUGUCCAAUAUUCCCCACUGCUGCCUCCCGUAGGAGUCUGGGCCGUGUCUCAGUCCCAGUGUGGCUGAUCAUCCUCUCAGACCAGCUACGGAUCGUCGCCUUGGUGAGCCGUUACCUCACCAACCAGCUAAUCCGACAUAGGCUCAUCCGAUAGCGCGAGGCCCGAAGGUCCCCCGCUUUCCCCCGUAGGGCGUAUGCGGUAUUAGCCUGGGUUUCCCCAGGUUAUCCCCCACUACCGGGGCAGAUUCCUAUGCAUUACUCACCCGUCCGCCGCUCGCCACCAGGGAGCAAGCUCCCCGUGCUGCCGCUCGACUUGCAUGUGUUAGGCCUGCCGCCAGCGUUCAAUCUGAGCCAUAAUCAAACUCUGA
This 508-nucleotide ribosomal RNA is filed under the name uncultured bacterium. RNAcentral's name for it is "partial 16S ribosomal RNA". The record is from RNAcentral.